AGUGAUCGCUGGCGGCGUGCUUAACACAUGCAAGUCGAGCGAGAUUUGACAGCGUAUCGUCAGGUCUAGCGGCAGACGGGUGAGUAACACGUGAGCAAUCUGCCCCUGACUCUGGGAUAAGCGCUGGAAACGGCGUCUAAUACUGGAUAUGAGCUGCGACCGCAUGGUCAGCAGUUGGAAAGAAUUUCGGUCAGGGAUGAGCUCGCGGCCUAUCAGCUUGUUGGUGAGGUAAUGGCUCACCAAGGCGUCGACGGGUAGCCGGCCUGAGAGGGUGACCGGCCACACUGGGACUGAGACACGGCCCAGACUCCUACGGGAGGCAGCAGUGGGGAAUAUUGCACAAUGGGCGCAAGCCUGAUGCAGCGACGCCGCGUGAGGGAUGACGGCCUUCGGGUUGUAAACCUCUUUCAGCAGGGAAGAAGCGCAAGUGACGGUACCUGCAGAAGAAGCGCCGGCUAACUACGUGC
Molecule: ribosomal RNA, 467 nt
Filed under: uncultured bacterium
Lineage: Bacteria
Description: bacterial SSU rRNA
Rfam family: Bacterial small subunit ribosomal RNA
Source: RNAcentral